RNAcentral lists this ribosomal RNA (341 nucleotides) under Oscillospiraceae bacterium. RNAcentral describes it as "bacterial SSU rRNA". It matches the Rfam family "Bacterial small subunit ribosomal RNA", at positions 1 to 325 of the family's 1533-position model. The record is from RNAcentral. Lineage: Bacteria; Bacillati; Bacillota; Clostridia; Eubacteriales; Oscillospiraceae.
UUUAUUGAGAGUUUGAUCCUGGCUCAUGACGAACGCUGGCGGCGUGCCUAACACAUGCAAGUCGAACGAAGCUCCCGAGGAUUUGAUUCGUCAGAUCCGAAGGAUGACUUAGUGGCGAACGGGUGAGUAACGCGUGAGCAACCUGCCCCGGAGUGGGGGACAACAGUUGGAAACGACUGCUAAUACCGCAUGACAUAUACGAAAGGCAUCUUUUGUAUAUCAAAGAUUUAUUGCUCUGAGAUGGGCUCGCGUCUGAUUAGAUAGUUGGCGGGGUAACGGCCCACCAAGUCUACGAUCAGUAGCCGGACUGAGAGGUUGAACGGCCACAUUGGGACUGAGAU